This 497-nucleotide ribosomal RNA is filed under the name uncultured bacterium. RNAcentral describes it as "partial 16S ribosomal RNA". It matches the Rfam family "Bacterial small subunit ribosomal RNA", at positions 28 to 507 of the family's 1533-position model. The record is from RNAcentral.
GACGAACGCUGGCGGCGUGCCUAAUACAUGCAAGUUGAGCGAUGAAGAUUGGUGCUUGCACCAAUUUGAAGAGCAGCGAACGGGUGAGUAACGCGUGGGGAAUCUGCCUUUGAGCGGGGGACAACAUUUGGAAACGAAUGCUAAUACCGCAUAACAACUUUAAACAUAAGUUUUAAGUUUGAAAGAUGCAAUUGCAUCACUCAAAGAUGAUCCCGCGUUGUAUUAGCUAGUUGGUGAGGUAAAGGCUCACCAAGGCGAUGAUACAUAGCCGACCUGAGAGGGUGAUCGGCCACAAUGGGACUGAGACACGGCCCAAACUCCUACGGGAGGCAGCAGUAGGGAAUCUUCGGCAAUGGACGAAAGUCUGACCGAGCAACGCCGCGGGAGUGAAGAAGGUUUUCGGAUCGUAAAACUCUGUUGGUAGAGAAGAACGUUGGUGAGAGUGGAAAGCUCAUCAAGUGACGGUAACUACCCAGAAAGGGACGGCUAACUACGUG